RNAcentral lists this unclassified non-coding RNA (346 nucleotides) under soil metagenome. RNAcentral describes it as "partial contains 5.8S ribosomal RNA, internal transcribed spacer 2, and large subunit ribosomal RNA". The stretch from base 1 to 120 matches the Rfam family "5.8S ribosomal RNA", at positions 35 to 154 of the family's 154-position model. The record is from RNAcentral.
GAUGAAGAACGCAGCGAAAUGCGAUAAGUAGUGUGAAUUGCAGAAUUCAGUGAAUCAUCGAAUCUUUGAACGCACAUUGCGCCCCCUGGUAUUCCGGGGGGCAUGCCUGUCCGAGCGUCAUUGCUGCCCUCAAGCCCGGCUUGUGUGUUGGGUCUCGUCCCCCUUCCCGGGGGGACGGGCCCGAAAGGCAGCGGCGGCACCGCGUCCGGUCCUCGAGCGUAUGGGGCUUUGUCACCCGCUCUGUAGGCCCGGCCGGCGCUUGCCGAUCAACCAAAACUUUUUUCCAGGUUGACCUCGGAUCAGGUAGGGAUACCCGCUGAACUUAAGCAUAUCAAUAAGCGGAGGA